Lepidothrix coronata (blue-crowned manakin) is the source of this 1680-nucleotide long non-coding RNA. RefSeq lists it as uncharacterized. The transcript has 2 exons. NCBI's taxonomy places the organism in Eukaryota, Metazoa, Chordata, Aves, Passeriformes, Pipridae. The record is from RefSeq and is a predicted model, not a curated record.
GUGACUGGUUCUUUUUCUUUUUUUCUUUUUUUUUUUUUUUUUUUUUUUUUUUUUUUAGUUUGAGACUGUUUCCCUUUUCUAUAUUGGCUGGACUGAGGUGUGGGGAUAAGGUUCACUGCACAUAGGAAGCUAAAUCCCCUUUUCUCUGACUUGUCAGGUAGCUUGGAGAAGGAUGAAGGAUGUGCCCAGCUCCGCGAUUCACAACUUCUUCCAAAAGAUUAAAAAGUAAAAAGAAGGGGGUUGUGCUUUACCCCUGCCCUUCUUCCCUCUCCACAUCUACAGAGCAACAGUUGACUCGGUCAGCUGCGACUGUACUGCAAAGCUGUGAAAAAAUAUUCCAUUGGGCAGACUUGGUUUGAGGGUCUGCACAUCCAGAAUACCUGGACGUGAAACACGGUACUUCCCUGAACGGCUCCCAAGGCAACGGCUCCCUGUCCAGUUCCAGCUGGACUGGUGGGUGCUCCACUGGUCACCAGUGUCUGAGUGACCCCAGGCGUGGUGUGGUGGUGGUGGCAAUGCCACCAGGAGUGUAGGAGGAGCAGGGCAUGGUCACUGCUUGGUCAUGCAGGGUCAGGUAGACCUAAGACGGGUUUCUCUCCACACCUUUGCUGAUGCAUUUAUCUGUUUUUCAGAAAUAAAAGGUAGCUGCUGCUUGGAGCUUUCCAUGGCAUACAUCUAAUAAAUCAAUUAACCUGCGCCCCUUCCUGUAACUUGAGCUGCUACUUUGGGCCGGGUUGGGGAGGAAAUAUCCCAUGGAUCACUUGGCUUGUUGCACCUGACUCCGGCCUCUCCCGCUGCUGCUGUGCAGUCUCACUGGGUCUGUCGGGAAUCUCCAGGUUUUCCCGGCCCAGCUGCUCCUGGCUGGGCCAGGGGGGAGCUCUGUGCCAGAGGGAGCAGUUCAGCCGGAGUGGGCAGCACAAUCCCUGCUGAAUGUGCCCCUGUCAGUGCCUUUGGAAAAUGAAAAGGCUGGGAUUUUCAGAGGAGUCCGAUCCCGGCAGGGUUUGAGCAUCUGAAUUCCUCAGUCUCCUUGGCAAACCCUGGCUCACAUCCCUGUGUUAGAGAGAGAGGGGUUGGCUGGUGACACUGUUAAACUGCAAGGGGCUUUCUCUGCAGAGGAACAUCAUCUCCCAUUUAGCCUUUUUUUUUAAGGAAAAAACCCCAAACUUCACUGCAAAAGGCAGUGCUCUUUGGUGGUUUUUUUCUGACUGGUUUUGAGAACUGGUGACCAGAACCCCGUUGUCUGGAUCCUCCUGUCGCCCUCCCAUUGCACCAGCUGUUGAGAUGCACUAUGCUUGAUUGCAGAUUGUGUUCUAACGUUUAUUUUGUUGUUGGUUUUUUGGUUUUUUUGGUAAACAGUUGUUGCCUUUAUUUGUAAAAUCCUGUUAUAAAUAUAUAUAUAUAUUAUAUAAAUAUAUUAAAAGGUAAAACGUUUCAGAUGUUUAUUAUUUGUAUAACUACUUGAGCAUAAAGAAGUGAGAAAUAUGAAUGUAUUCUUGUUUCUGGGUUGUCUUUUUUUUUUUUUUUUUGAAGAGAAGAAUAUUCCGUUUUUCUCUCGGGAGAGGUACAGUGUUUAUAUUUUGGAGUUGCCUUCAAGGUGGGAUAUUGUACAUAUUUUUAUCUUGAGUAAAUGUUAAGUAGUUGUUUAAAAAUGCUUAAUAAAAUAAUUCUUUUCCUGUGGAA